ACUCCAUACCCACUGAAACAUGGAGAAAUAUUCCAUUGGCAAGCAGUACUAAAGAUCAAGAGAACCAUACAAUUGGGUGGUAUACUGCAUGCCACACUACAAUACAAUUUCAAGAAUUAUACUAAUAUUACUUUCAUUGAUGUGGAAUUAAAUUUAUGCGACUUCUUAGAUGAUAUAGUUAAAAAUAAUUGUCCAGUACAUCCUGGAAUAUAUCAUAUUAAUAGUACUACUACAAUGUCAAAACUAUUUUGGCCAGGUCAGUAUUAUGGUAAAGCAACUGCUUACAAUGAGAAAGAAGAGCAGAUACUAUGUGUAAUGAAACAAAUCACUCUUGAAUAAUGAACAUAAUUAUUAUUAACACAUGCAUGCAGUAUAAGUUUUGAGACUGUUAAAUACUUAAAAAUUAAUGUCAUUGACAUCAGAGGCAGUGUCA
Long non-coding RNA from Amphimedon queenslandica, 433 nucleotides. RefSeq lists it as uncharacterized. The transcript is spliced from 3 exons. The record is from RefSeq and is a predicted model, not a curated record. Lineage: Eukaryota; Metazoa; Porifera; Demospongiae; Haplosclerida; Niphatidae.